GACGAACGCUGGCGGCGCGCCUAACACAUGCAAGUCGAACGAGCGAGAGAGAGCUUGCUUUCUCAAGCGAGUGGCGAACGGGUGAGUAACGCGUGAGGAACCUGCCUCAAAGAGGGGGACAACAGUUGGAAACGACUGCUAAUACCGCAUAAGCCCACGACCCGGCAUCGGGUUGAGGGAAAAGGAGCAAUCCGCUUUGAGAUGGCCUCGCGUCCGAUUAGCUAGUUGGUGAGGUAACGGCCCACCAAGGCGACGAUCAGUAGCCGACCUGAGAGGGUGACCGGCCACAUUGGGACUGAGACACGGCCCAA
RNAcentral lists this ribosomal RNA (311 nucleotides) under uncultured bacterium. RNAcentral describes it as "bacterial SSU rRNA". It matches the Rfam family "Bacterial small subunit ribosomal RNA", at positions 28 to 334 of the family's 1533-position model. The record is from RNAcentral.